Molecule: ribosomal RNA, 412 nt
Filed under: uncultured bacterium
Lineage: Bacteria
Description: bacterial SSU rRNA
Rfam family: Bacterial small subunit ribosomal RNA
Source: RNAcentral
AACGCUGGCGGCGUGCCUAACACAUGCAAGUCGAACGAGAAAGUGGAGCAAUCCAUGAGUAAAGUGGCGCACGGGUGAGUAACACGUGACUAACCUACCCUUGAGUGGGGGAUAACCUAGAGAAAUCUGGGCUAAUACCGCAUAAUACCUUCGGGUCAAAGGAGCAAUUCGCUUAAGGAGGGGGUCGCGGCCGAUUAGUUAGUUGGCGGGGUAAUGGCCCACCAAGACUAUGAUCGGUAUCCGGCCUGAGAGGGCGCACGGACACACUGGAACUGAAACACGGUCCAGACUCCUACGGGAGGCAGCAGUGGGGAAUUUUGCGCAAUGGGGGAAACCCUGACGCAGCAACGCCGCGUGGAGGAUGAAGUCCCUUGGGACGUAAACUCCUUUCGAUCGGGACGAUAAUGACGGU